UUGGGGUAGUGGCCCAACAAGGUUUUUACGGAUAACGGGGAAUCAGGGUUCGAUUCCGGAGAGGGAGCCUGAGAAACGGCUACCACCACCAAGGUAGGCAGCAGGCGCGAAAAUUACCCUAAUCUGAAUUUCAGGAGGUAGUAACAAAAAAUAUCAAAACAGGCUUUAUGUUUGUAUUUGGAAUGUGUGUAAUUUAACAAGUUACUCGAGAAACAAUUGGAGGGCAAGUCUGGUGCCAGCAGCCGCGGUAAUUCCAGCUCCAAUAGUGUAUAAUAAAGUUGUUGCGGUUAAAAUGCUCGCAGUUAAAUGACAAAAUUUAUCAAUUAUAUGGUUUAUAUAUAACCUAUAUAGUUUGAUUAAUUUUUUAUUGCAAAUAAUAACAAGUUGCUUCAUUGCAACUUGUUACUCAUUUGCAUAAUGCGCCUUGAAUAAACUAGAGUGCUCAAUGCAAGCUUAUGCUAGCAUAAUCAAACAUGGAACGAUCUAAUAACAAUCUAAUUUGGUUGGUUGGUAGCCACCUGGUUUAUCUAAUAUGCAUGUUGUUAUGUAAACAUUUUACUCUGUGAUUCUGAUUUCAUCUGAAUUGAUGUAAGUUGCUCUCAUUGUAUUAUUGAUUUAUCUCUGAUGCUGUAUAUUGGUAGAUUGGGAACCGAAUUAGAUCCCGAUUAAAAGAAGCAAUUGAGGGCGUUGGUACUGGGCAGCGAGAGGUGAAAUUCUGUAACCUGUCCAAGACUAACAAAUGCGAAGGCAUACGCCAAGGUUGUUUUCAUUAAUCAGGAGCGAAGGUUGAGGGAUCGAAGACGAUUAGAUACCGUCGUAGUCUCAACAGUAAACAAUGCCUACCUGAGGUUAGCCCAUUAUUAGUUAUAGGUUGGCCUCUCAGAGAAAUCUCAAGUUUUUGGGUUCUGGGGGGAGUACUGUCGCAAGGCUGAAACUUAAAAGAAUUGACGGAAGGACACCACAAGGAGUGGAGCCUGCGGCUUAAUUUGACUCAACACGGGACAACUUACCAGGUCCUCACAUUGAAAGGAUUGACAGAUUAAUAGCUCUUUCAUAAUACAAUGUAUGGUGGUGCAUGGCCGUUCUUAGUUGGUGGAGCAAUUUGUCUGGUCAAUUCCGAUAACGAGCGAGACUGCUUUUUCUAUUUUAUGGCUCAUUCUUAUAAUCACAUUUAAUAAUACUGGUCUAAAUACUAACAUCAGUUGUUUGAUAAUGUUAUCGAUCUAUCCUGGGUUAUGCCCUUGAGACAUUGGUAAUAGAGUCAAACAAUUUGAUAUAAAGAUUUAGAUUUGGUUUUAUUAGAUGUAAGGUGAGAUAAUAGAGAGACAACCGCGCGCACUCAAGCCGGAGGAGGCGCAGCAAUAACAGGUCUGUGAUGCCCUUAGAUGUUCUGGGCUGCACGCGCGCUACAAUGGCGUUGAAAAUAAGUUAAUAUUCUGAAAAGAAUAUUUAAACAUUAAUCAGCGUCAUAUUAGGGAUAGAGUACUGUAAUUGUGCUCUUGAGCUAGGAAUUCCUAGUAAGUACGGGUCACCAACCCGUGCUGAAUAUGUCUAUGUCCUUUGUACACACCGCCCGUCGCUACUACUGAUUAUAUGAUGUUUCGAAGCGUAGGAAUUUGAAAAGAACGUUUAGUUUUUUUUAAAGAACCACCCUAAGAAAUUCAUCUGAGAGGAAGUAAAAGUCGUAACAAGGUUU
Molecule: ribosomal RNA, 1696 nt
Filed under: Sinuolinea arctica
Lineage: Eukaryota; Metazoa; Cnidaria; Myxozoa; Bivalvulida; Sinuolineidae
Description: partial 18S ribosomal RNA
Rfam family: Eukaryotic small subunit ribosomal RNA
Source: RNAcentral